This 253-nucleotide ribosomal RNA is filed under the name uncultured bacterium. RNAcentral's name for it is "partial 16S ribosomal RNA". It matches the Rfam family "Bacterial small subunit ribosomal RNA", at positions 524 to 776 of the family's 1533-position model. The record is from RNAcentral.
UACGUAGGGUGCAAGCGUUGUCCGGAAUUAUUGGGCGUAAAGAGCUCGUAGGCGGUCUGUCACGUCGGCUGUGAAAACCUGGGGCUCAACUCCGGGCCUGCAACCGAUACGGGCAGACUAGAGUUCGGCAGGGGAGACUGGAAUUCCUGGUGUAGCGGUGAAAUCCGUAGAUAUUGGAAAGAACACCGGCCGCGAAGGAGUUUCACUGGCUCAUUACUGACGCUCAGGGACGAGAGCUAGGGGAGCAAACGGG